UUGAUGAUGCCAUAGCCGACGGCGUCGACAUUAUAUCUGCGUCCAUCGGCCCGGAUCCUCCUCAGGCCAACUAUUUCGAGGAUGCUAUAUCCAUCGGAGCGUUCCAUGCCCUGCAGAAAAACAUCCUCGUGUCAUGCUCUGCCGGAAACAGUGGAGACCCUUUCACGGCUACCAACCUUUCGCCAUGGAUACUGACGGUUGCAGCGAGCUCCAUAGACAGGAGGUUUGAAGCCGAUGUGGUGCUUGGAAACGGAAAAAUACUUCAGGUAAGCUGUUGACAAUAUCUGCAACGAGUUGAGCCUGACUUUGGAAACAGGGACUCGCUGUUAAUCCAUACGAUUCUCAGUUCUUCCCUGUGGUUCUGGGAAAGGAUCUUGCUGCCGCAGGAGUGACGCCUGCAAAUGCAAGGUAAUACAAGUCAUUCGAGGAAACUCAAUGGUACCUAGUUGCUUUGUUGCGCAGUUUUUGCCAUGCGGACUCCCUGGACGACGUUAGAACCAAGGGGAAAAUAGUUGUUUGCCAGCAUGAAAUCCCGAUCGAGUCGAGGGGAGCCAAGGCCGCCGAAGUGAGUCGAGCUGGUGGUGCUGGAAUGAUCGACAUCAAUCCUGAAGUUAAAGACCUGGCACAACCUUUCGUGGUCCCUGCAUCACUGACCGACGAGGCCCAAGCGUCCAUUCUCCGUGCAUAUCUAAAUUCCACCAGGUGAGCAGCCAAAAGUAUCUAUCUCCGGCCUCGUCUCUUAACACCCCCUGGGAAAAAAACCAACCAGCUC
RNAcentral lists this long non-coding RNA (772 nucleotides) under Selaginella moellendorffii. RNAcentral's name for it is "long non-coding RNA (SMOE_LNC000819)". Lineage: Eukaryota; Viridiplantae; Streptophyta; Lycopodiopsida; Selaginellales; Selaginellaceae. The record is from RNAcentral.